UAUGAUGCAUGAAGAAAAACUGAGCUGUAAUAGAAAAUUGUUUUGUACCUUCCCGCGUAUCCUUUUCCUCUCGAUGUUCCUUUUUUCAAUUUAAACAAAUAAUGGGGGAACAUGGUUCAAAUCCAUUCCAUGAACUCAACCGUAGAUCGCUAAUGUACACAAAUGUAACAAUUUAAUGUCUCCUAGUUAGAACUACCUCAAUAAAUGUAGCCGGUAUCUAAUACAGGCAGCUGAGUAUUUCUCCUCUGCAGGACCCAAAAGUGGGAACAGGACCUGUCUCUUGGCAUGUACUAAGUAAUAUGUAAAUCUUUAUCAUCAAGAAUCCUUGUAUCAAA
RNAcentral lists this unclassified non-coding RNA (335 nucleotides) under Hevea brasiliensis (rubber tree). Lineage: Eukaryota; Viridiplantae; Streptophyta; Magnoliopsida; Malpighiales; Euphorbiaceae. The record is from RNAcentral.